RNAcentral lists this ribosomal RNA (253 nucleotides) under uncultured bacterium. Its description in RNAcentral is "partial 16S ribosomal RNA". It matches the Rfam family "Bacterial small subunit ribosomal RNA", at positions 525 to 776 of the family's 1533-position model. The record is from RNAcentral.
ACGGAGGAUCCAAGCGUUAUCCGGAAUUACUGGGCGUAAAGAGUUGCGUAGGUGGCAAGUUAAGUUUCUGUUCAAAUCCCAAGGCUCAACCUUGGACAGGGCAGGAAAACUGGCUAGCUAGAGCAUAGUAGAGGUAGCUGGAACUGCUGGUGUAGGAGUGAAAUCCGUAGAUAUCAGUAGGAACACCGAUGGCGUAGGCAGGCUACUGGGCUAUUGCUGACACUAAGGCACGAAAGCGUGGGGAGCGAACGGG